UUGAACGCUGGCGGCAUGCUUUACACAUGCAAGUCGAACGGUAGACCCUUUCGGGGGUUGAGAGUGGCGAACGGGUGAGUAAUGUAUCGGAACGUACCCUGUCGUGGGGGAUAACACAGCGAAAGCUGUGCUAAUACCGCAUACGACCUGAGGGUGAAAGCGGGGGAUCGCAAGACCUCGCGCGAUAGGAGCGGCCGAUAUCGGAUUAGCUUGUUGGUGAGGUAAAGGCUCACCAAGGCGACGAUCCGUAGCUGGUCUGAGAGGACGACCAGCCACACUGGAACUGAGACACGGUCCAGACUCCUACGGGAGGCAGCAGUGGGGAAUUUUGGACAAUGGGGGCAACCCUGAUCCAGCCAUUCCGCGUGAGUGAAGAAGGCCUUCGGGUUGUAAAGCUCUUUCAGCAGGAACGAAACGGUGGCCAUUAAUACUGGCUACUAAUGACGGUACCUGAAGAAGAAGCACCGGCUAACUACGU
This 478-nucleotide ribosomal RNA is filed under the name uncultured bacterium. RNAcentral's name for it is "bacterial SSU rRNA". It matches the Rfam family "Bacterial small subunit ribosomal RNA", at positions 30 to 506 of the family's 1533-position model. The record is from RNAcentral.